Cotesia glomerata is the source of this 511-nucleotide long non-coding RNA. RefSeq lists it as uncharacterized. Lineage: Eukaryota; Metazoa; Arthropoda; Insecta; Hymenoptera; Braconidae. The record is from RefSeq and is a predicted model, not a curated record. The transcript is spliced from 2 exons.
CGAUGAUGACACCUCAUGGACAAGUGGGUUGUUUAUUGUCACGCGGGAUUUUAUUUUAUAAUUUAAUUUGAAAUAUACUUAAAAAUGACUGAUUGAGAUUGUGUGGCAAGGUAUGAUUUUAAAUGAUAAGAGUUCAAUUGAACUUAAUGUUGAUGUUUAUUUAGAAAUCGGAGAGAUGGAGUGAAUAGUUACAGCUCUCGGGGAGAAGUGAAGUCACAAAGUCUCAACUCUGACUGCUCAGCUUCACGUUCCCCCACUAUGGUUACACGUAUACACCUAUACUAUUGCUAGAACUACCCUUAUACAUAGUGCGUAAUAUACUAUCUUACAUGUACUUAUAUAAACUUAUUUAUAUAUAACACUUAUUAUUUGCGGCUGCGGCCGGCUUACAUAUUCAUGUACUUGUAUUUACCUGGCUUUAAAUUCAGCACAACGACCUAGGGAAACCGCAGAAAACCUGGUCGAGGCUUUUAAGGUAUUAUCUGCUCAAUAAAUUAUAUCAGAUGCGGAA